GACUCUGCAGUAGAGGAGGCAUAAAACGUUUCUCCGACAUUCCUGAUGGGUGCUAAUUCAGGUCGUGGUGUCACACAUCGCGGAAACUGAUGCGAAGGCUUCGCGGUAAUGCUGUUAGCACGACGCGAAAUUAGCCGGACGAUCUGACGCGUUGUGUGACAAAAAGUUUUCGUGACACUCGAUCGUCGAUCGUCGUUGAUAAUCGUCGAUCAUAAAAGGUACGUUUAAACGUACGAAACCAGGAAAGAAGGGAAAAAAGAAACUAGGACGGUUGACGCCCUCGGGUUGUCAUUUAGGGAAAGACUCAUGUUUAGUGAAUAUCUGUUCAUGGAUUCUAUUUGUUGACCAAUAUGUUCCACUGUCAGUUGAACUUUGCACAAAUCUUGGGAAGGAUAUUCUUUUUUGAAGAGAUAUUUUUUGAUCGGAACGACGGCGUUGUCGCGCAAGAAAAAGGUGUUCCGGAGACGAAGACAGCCAAGACCUUGAAGAUAAAAGUUGGUCAUGUUGUUUAAAAGAAACCAUCUGUCUCGGACAUAAUGGCCUGCGUCAUAGAUCAACAAUGCUUCGCUUGCGUAACUUCCUUCAUUUCAAUCAAAUAUCCCCCUCUUCCUUAAUUGAUCUUUAUUGUUAACUUAUUUGAAAAUUGUAUCGGCGAAUUUCGUUGAGCAUCGAGAAAUUUAUUAACUGCGCGGAUGAUCCAAACUUUCAUUUUUAUUAUCAUACACAUCGCUUUAACCUCUUG
Molecule: long non-coding RNA, 742 nt
Organism: Frieseomelitta varia
Lineage: Eukaryota; Metazoa; Arthropoda; Insecta; Hymenoptera; Apidae
Exons: 3
Source: RefSeq, a predicted model, not a curated record